AGAGGUACAACAUAUGCAUUUCAAAGAGAACUGGAAGAGCUAGCACCAAAGAGCCCCAACUCACCUCCACAAUCAAGUUCUACAUGCAAUUCACGGAUAGUGGUUGUCGGCACAUCUUUUAACCAAGUCACCUCCAUUGAUCCUUUUGUUGACAAGCAGCUAGACCCAAGACCCAAGGUACCAAACAAAAUAAGAAAGGCAUCAAAACUCCUAGGAAUCUUGCUAGAUAUGAGCAUCUCUUUUGCAUGAC
Long non-coding RNA from Triticum urartu, 250 nucleotides. RefSeq lists it as uncharacterized. The record is from RefSeq and is a predicted model, not a curated record. Lineage: Eukaryota; Viridiplantae; Streptophyta; Magnoliopsida; Poales; Poaceae.